GUCCAUUUUCGCCCUAAAACAGUUCAAAGCCUCUUUUUCUAUAGAUAACCAGUCACAUACUUUACAUCUAUAUACAAAGAAAAAGGAAAAUCAAUUACUGGAAAUAUCGCAGGACCAAACAGCGCCGUUAUGGCCACGGUAGGUGCCGAGUCGCUCGCCAUUAUCUGAGAACCAAACAGUCGGAGUGUGGUCUUUGGCGCAGGAGAAAAGCAUAUCCCCUUCCCUAUUAUACUUCAAAAACGUCAAUGGCCUCUCGUGCCCCUUCAUCAGUAUUGGCCUCAUCUUCGAUAAGUUAUUUGUGUAAAAUCAAAUUAAUCACCCUUUCUCUUUCAGAUUUCUUGGGUGCGUUGAAUUGAGAUUUUUAAAGUGGGUGACUUGUGGACUUUGUGAAAUUUUAAUUAAUUUUUAUGGAUUUGGUAGGAAUCAGGAAAAGUUUUUCUUGGAUUUGUGGAGAUUUUUACUAAAGACUUUUAAGGAAUUUUUUUUUUUUUUAAGGAAAUAUGC
RNAcentral lists this long non-coding RNA (504 nucleotides) under Olea europaea subsp. europaea. Lineage: Eukaryota; Viridiplantae; Streptophyta; Magnoliopsida; Lamiales; Oleaceae. The record is from RNAcentral.